This 497-nucleotide ribosomal RNA is filed under the name uncultured bacterium. RNAcentral describes it as "partial 16S ribosomal RNA". It matches the Rfam family "Bacterial small subunit ribosomal RNA", at positions 28 to 507 of the family's 1533-position model. The record is from RNAcentral.
GAUGAACGCUGGCGGCGUGCCUAAUACAUGCAAGUCGAGCGAACGGACGAGAAGCUUGCUUCUCUGAUGUUAGCGGCGGACGGGUGAGUAACACGUGGAUAACCUACCUAUAAGACUGGGAUAACUUCGGGAAACCGGAGCUAAUACCGGAUGAUAUUUUGAACCGCAUGGUUCAAAAGUGAAAGACGGUCUUGCUGUCACUUAUAGAUGGAUCCGCGCUGCAUUAGCUAGUUGGUAAGGUAACGGCUUACCAAGGCAACGAUGCAUAGCCGACCUGAGAGGGUGAUCGGCCACACUAGAACUGAGACACGGUCCAGACUCCUACGGGAGGCAGCAGUAGGGAAUCUUCCGCAAUGGGCGAAAGCCUGACGGGGCAACGCCGCGUGAGUGAUGAAGGUCUUCGGAUCGUGAAACUCUGUUAUUAGGGAAGAACAUAUGUGUAAGUAACUGUGCACAUCUUGACGGUACCUAAUCAGAAAGCCACGGCUAACUACGUG